Molecule: ribosomal RNA, 466 nt
Filed under: uncultured bacterium
Lineage: Bacteria
Description: partial 16S ribosomal RNA
Rfam family: Bacterial small subunit ribosomal RNA
Source: RNAcentral
GAUGAACGCUGACAGAAUGCUUAACACAUGCAAGUCAACUUGAAUUUGGGUUUUUAACUUAGGUUUGGGUGGCGGACGGGUGAGUAACGCGUAAAGAACUUGCCUCACAGCUAGGGACAACAUUUGGAAACGAAUGCUAAUACCUAAUAUUAUGAUAAUAGGGCAUCCUAUAAUUAUGAAAGCUAUAAGCGCUGUGAGAGGGCUUUGCGUCCCAUUAGCUAGUUGGAGAGGUAACGGCUCACCAAGGCGAUGAUGGGUAGCCGGCCUGAGAGGGUGAUCGGCCACAAGGGGACUGAGACACGGCCCUUACUCCUACGGGAGGCAGCAGUGGGGAAUAUUGGACAAUGGACCGAGAGUCUGAUCCAGCAAUUCUGUGUGCACGAUGAAGUUUUUCGGAAUGUAAAGUGCUUUCAGUUGGGAAGAAACAAAUGACGGUACCAACAGAAGAAGUGACGGCUAAAUACGU